Molecule: long non-coding RNA, 412 nt
Filed under: Triticum aestivum (bread wheat)
Lineage: Eukaryota; Viridiplantae; Streptophyta; Magnoliopsida; Poales; Poaceae
Description: long non-coding RNA (TAES_LNC005268)
Source: RNAcentral
GCAACAACUGAUGGUAACGAUUGUCUGGCUAAAUUGGUCGUACUCACAUGAACAAUUAGUCGCACCUUUUCCCUUCAGCUCGCUCCUAAAAUUGACGUCUGCAGAUGAUACCCAAAUUUUGCAGGCUGAUAAAAAGAAGUUACAGUUUAAUCGAAGGGAGAAUGAAAAUUUCAAUAUUGGCAUCCUUAUAUAAGGCCUUCUAUGUCUUUUUUCUAAGGCCACAAACAAGAAAACAUGCAGUCGUCUUAUGGCCGUGGGAUGGAGGGCGGCGUGCAAGGACAACCAAGGAGAUCACAUCCACCUACUUUUGGCUGUUUGUGUGAGUAGAUAGCUUCACCUUGGCUUGUUGUGAGUAUUGCAACGUUGGUUAUCAGUUAUCAUUCUCCCCUUCUUUGUUAAAAUCAUGGUGCAG